RNAcentral lists this unclassified non-coding RNA (297 nucleotides) under Hevea brasiliensis (rubber tree). The record is from RNAcentral. Lineage: Eukaryota; Viridiplantae; Streptophyta; Magnoliopsida; Malpighiales; Euphorbiaceae.
GCAUUAAAGUUGGGAUGGUUUUCUAAUUCACGGACCACGAGUUCGACAACAUCGAGAGGAUGCUUUUGGGUUUGGAGAGCGUCAACACCGAUCCGGAGGCAGUGGCGCAGAGCGGCCUCGCGAGGAAGACGUCGUUCAGGUGGCAUCGAAAGUGAUAUAUCACCCGCGCCUCCGUGUAGUGCGAUCGCCCAACCCAUUUUCCGCUCUCCGUCUCCCUAUGGGAAACUCUCCCCGCUGCUCUCCUACUUCCCUUGGGCUGUUGGAGGGAACGUAAAGUCUGGAGACUUCUGCCCCUGG